This 279-nucleotide ribosomal RNA is filed under the name Aeromonas sp. C4ACCMRS.II. Its description in RNAcentral is "partial 16S ribosomal RNA". It matches the Rfam family "Bacterial small subunit ribosomal RNA", at positions 331 to 589 of the family's 1533-position model. Lineage: Bacteria; Pseudomonadati; Pseudomonadota; Gammaproteobacteria; Aeromonadales; Aeromonadaceae. The record is from RNAcentral.
CCUAACCGGGAGGGCAGCACAUGCAGGAAUAUUGCAACAAUGCGGAGGAAACCCCUGACUGCAGCCAUGCCGCGCUCGUGUGAAGAAGGCCUUCGGAUAUGUAAAGCACUUUCAGCGAGGAGGAAAGGCGACUGCCGUAAUACGUAUCAAGCUGUGACGUUACUGCGCAGAAGAAGCACCGGCUAACUCCGUGCCAGCAGCCGCGGUAAUACGGAGGUGCAAGCGUUAUAUCGGAAUUACUGGGUCGUAAAGCGUCACGUCAGGCGGUUUGGAUAAGUC